CCCCCUCCUCUGGGGCAUGCUAAAAUCCACGUGGACGCGGCAGUAUCCAAGACACAUAACUGUGGCGCCGCGGCGGCGGUGUGCAGGAGCAGCGAUGGAAACUUCAUGGGCAGUUCAGCGUUGGUGAUACAUGGGAUAACUGAUGCUGCAACACUAGAAGCUAUUACAUGCAGAGAAGGUCUAGCACUUGCGCAAGAUUUACUACUGAAUGAUUUUCUCAUAGCAUCGGACUCCAAGCAAGUAGUUAAUGAUAUCAAGACAGCAAGCAAUGGAAGAUACAGAGCAAUCAUAUCGGAGAUCAAGAAUCUUUUAUUAGUCUUCAAUUGUAAUAUUACUUUCGAAGGCAGAGCCUCUAAUAGCGAUGCCGAUAGGUUAGCCAAGUUUGCACAUUCUUUGGAUCGGGGUAGGCACUUGUCGUUUUUGGAACCCCGUGAUCCUUUUUGUAUCCCACUUAAUGUGGCCUAUGAGCAAUAA
This 474-nucleotide ribosomal RNA is filed under the name Triticum aestivum (bread wheat). Its description in RNAcentral is "partial small subunit ribosomal RNA". The record is from RNAcentral. Lineage: Eukaryota; Viridiplantae; Streptophyta; Magnoliopsida; Poales; Poaceae.